UGAGCCAGAUUCGGAGCUGCUGUAAGUCUGGGUAGGUCCCUUGACUUCAGUGGAGCUACAGUGAUUUACAUCAGCUGAGGAGCUAACACUUUGUCCUUGUUUAUACAAAAUGUCCUCAAGUCCAGCAGCUUAACACAGGACCCCUCUUCCCUUCAAAAGACAGCCGAAGACAAAUACAUCAAUGCAGAGAGUAGUAGUAAAGGGGAGAAUAUGGUCCUAAAAUCAAGCCAAAAAGUGCUAUCGGCAAUCAACUUAAUUAAUGAAGAUGCUGCAAGGAUCCUUCCAGAGCUGAACUCUUACAGGGAAGAAAGGAUGGGUAAACCAAACUAAUGCUCAAAACUAAAAUGUCUUAUUUCGGAGUUCAACUCACUGACAUUCAUAUCAACUUCUUACAAAUACUACAAGGACUCAAAAACUACUGGGAAUAGAUUUAGUACCAGUCAUAUGUAAGGAAAGUCACAUUUUAAAGGGAUGGGAAGUAAAUGUUGGACCUCUUCCUAACAUUGCCUGCUAAUUGAGAUGAAGACACUGAGACAUGAAUAAAUGGGCAUGCCUGCUGAAAUUGGCACUCAGAUCUUCUGGAAAAUGAGCCCUAUACAAAAAAAGCACUGCAAUUAUUUUAAGAACAUGGAGAAGUUGUCCCCAAGGAAAAACAUGAACUCAUUAUUACCUUAGUGAAGGCUCGGUAGCAUAAGCCACACAGUUCCACCAGGUAGGCCAGCGUGAAGACAGCAUUCUGAAUGACAAAGCUUAGUAAUUUUGAAAAUG
Pelodiscus sinensis (Chinese soft-shelled turtle) is the source of this 768-nucleotide long non-coding RNA. RefSeq lists it as uncharacterized. The record is from RefSeq and is a predicted model, not a curated record. NCBI's taxonomy places the organism in Eukaryota, Metazoa, Chordata, Testudines, Trionychidae.